This 371-nucleotide ribosomal RNA is filed under the name uncultured bacterium. RNAcentral describes it as "bacterial SSU rRNA". It matches the Rfam family "Bacterial small subunit ribosomal RNA", at positions 527 to 896 of the family's 1533-position model. The record is from RNAcentral.
AGAGGGUGCGAGCGUUGUUCGGAAUCACUGGGCGUAAAGCGCGCGCAGGCGGGCGUGUAAGUCAGAAGUGAAAUUCCGGGGCUCAACCCCGGAGCUGCUCCUGAUACUGCAGGUCUGGAGACCGGUAGAGGCUGGUGGAAUUCCCGGUGUAGCGGUGGAAUGCGUAGAGAUCGGGAAGAACACCCGUGGCGAAGGCGGCCAGCUGGGCCGGUUCUGACGCUGAGGCGCGAAAGCGUGGGGAGCAAACAGGAUUAGAUACCCUGGUAGUCCACGCUGUAAACGAUGGGCACUAGGUGCCGGGGGGAGCGACCCCUUCGGUGCCGCAGCUAACGCGUUAAGUGCCCCGCCUGGGGAGUACGGCCGCAAGGCUG